Non-coding RNA from Paramuricea clavata, 256 nucleotides. Lineage: Eukaryota; Metazoa; Cnidaria; Anthozoa; Malacalcyonacea; Plexauridae. The record is from the annotation of a GenBank genome assembly.
CAUUCACACAAAAACAAUUGUGUUGUGGGAGAUUAUCGGUUUGAGUAGAAGGUAUCACAAGUUUAGUUUAUUUGUACAUUGUGUGCCAUUGAUCAAAUCCACCAUAUAAUAUAUGAUCAUUCAUUGUAGCUGUUAAGUUAUUUUCCAUACUAAUGAAUUUAGGUAAGAUUGUCGACGUCUUGCAAGUUGGUUGUUCUGACAAAACUAUCCAGCCAAUAUCCAGUACAUUUAUUCUUCAUUCUUGUAUUAAUCUCUA